Non-coding RNA from Acanthosepion pharaonis, 97 nucleotides. NCBI's taxonomy places the organism in Eukaryota, Metazoa, Mollusca, Cephalopoda, Sepiida, Sepiidae. The record is from the annotation of a GenBank genome assembly.
UAAUACACCGGUUCUCGUACGAUCACCGAAGUUAAGCAAUGUCAACUCUAGUCAGUACGUUGAUGGAGGCUCGCUUGGUAAUACCAGGUGCUGUAAG